RNAcentral lists this ribosomal RNA (462 nucleotides) under uncultured Desulfobulbus sp. Its description in RNAcentral is "bacterial SSU rRNA". It matches the Rfam family "Bacterial small subunit ribosomal RNA", at positions 925 to 1382 of the family's 1533-position model. The record is from RNAcentral. Lineage: Bacteria; Pseudomonadati; Thermodesulfobacteriota; Desulfobulbia; Desulfobulbales; Desulfobulbaceae.
ACAAGCGGUGGAGUAUGUGGUUUAAUUCGAUGCAACGCGAAGAACCUUACCUGGUCUUGACAUCCCGGAGACCCUUAGGAACUAGGGGUGCUUCCAUCUGGAAGAAUCUGGAGACAGGUGCUGCAUGGCUGUCGUCAGCUCGUGUCGUGAGAUGUUGGGUUAAGUCCCGCAACGAGCGCAACCCUUGCCUUUAGUUGCCAGCAGUUCGGCUGGGCACUCUAAAGGGACUGCCGGUGUUAAACCGGAGGAAGGUGGGGAUGACGUCAAGUCCUCAUGGCCUUUAUGACCAGGGCUACACACGUACUACAAUGGCCGAUACAAAGGGCAGCGACACUGCGAGGUGAAGCCAAUCCCGUAAAAUCGGUCUCAGUCCGGAUUGGAGUCUGCAACUCGACUCCAUGAAGUUGGAUUCGCUAGUAAUCGCGCAUCAGCCAUGGCGCGGUGAAUACGUUCCCGGGCCUU